CCGCUGGCUGCGCCGCCCCGACGGCCCCGGCUGUUCUUGGCGAAGAAGAUGGCCCAGCCCACCACCACCACCAGACAGUGCUUUACCAUGGAACUGAAACCAUGAAAAGUGAAACUGCAAAUGGGAGAGACUGCUGUAUAGUCACUGAAAAAUUAAUGGAUGAGCUCAACAGCAAAUUAGACACAACUGAAACCUUGGACCCAUGUGUGGAAGAUGACAGCAUCACCAACUGGAGGGUGCCUGGAUCCCUGAGUCACCACUUGAAGCAAAAAGGUCAAGAGUAGCCACCUGACCCAUAUCAGGCUAUGAAAUGAAGAGAAAAUGACACGAGGCUUUGGAACCAAGAGCUGGAGGAACCUGGAAGCGAAAGCUGAGGCUGUCGGCUGCCCAGCAGUUAACACCCUGAGACCAUCUUCCCACUUCCAACACCCACAGAAGCUGCCACCCAAGGGCCCCUGUGUCCCCGCAUGGCCCACCUCAGCAGUAUGAUGCAGCACUGGGGAAGUGACAGAAUGUGAAAAAAACUAUUAUAGCUGAGAUAUUUUAAAAUUCCGCCCUCCAGGCAGCAUCUGGUUGCUACAGCAACCCCAGCUCUGCAGGGUGUCCCGAUUACCAGCAGGCUCCCUGCACCUGCCUCAGGCUGAGAGCAGGCGGCUGCCGCCAAGGGGAACACCAAGGAAAUGCCCAUGUUCUGAUUCCAAGGUAAUGGCUCAGACCCAAGGGGAUUUUAUCUGUUCAAUGUGCAACCUGAUGAAGUUUUGUCCCAUGUUAAUAAUUUCAUUAAAAAUAUGGCCUUACAUCCUAUUCGAUGCACUCAGUCUUUUUUUUUUAUUCACUCGGCUCCAUCAAAACACAAAAAGAUAACAUUGUCAUUCAUUUGGGAUUGAGCAAAUGAAAGCAGCUGGAUGAGUUUUGGUUCCAGGGUUUAGACAAAGCCCCUAAGGGACAAAAUUGGAAUCAGAGCUGAGUGGCUGGCCCUGCUCUCUGGAUUUGCAUAAGUCAUGUGGCAGGACACUUGCUCUUUUGCACCCAGCCUAAAAUAGCUUAUGAUAUCUUUAGGAAACCCAAACGAGUAAUAAAUAGGGGGCUGGGCACUGUGGCUCACACCUGUUAUCCCAACACUUUGGAAGGCUGAGGCAGGGGUAUCACUUGAGCCCAGGAGUUCCAGACCAGCC
RNAcentral lists this long non-coding RNA (1175 nucleotides) under Homo sapiens (human). RNAcentral's name for it is "HSALNT0404823". Lineage: Eukaryota; Metazoa; Chordata; Mammalia; Primates; Hominidae. The record is from RNAcentral.